Molecule: RNA transcript, 4661 nt
Organism: Cucurbita moschata (crookneck pumpkin)
Lineage: Eukaryota; Viridiplantae; Streptophyta; Magnoliopsida; Cucurbitales; Cucurbitaceae
Gene name: DEAD-box ATP-dependent RNA helicase 42
Exons: 3
Source: RefSeq, a predicted model, not a curated record
CCCACGUGAGGUUGGAGAGUGGAUUUCUAGUGAUUCCAGGAGGAGGGCUGGGGAAUCGCUUCCCGGGAUCGGACGGAACGGCGGGGUUGGAGCCACAGCUUCUCACCUGCCAACGCAACGUUUGGAAGUCCGGAUAAUUACCUCCUGUCCGACUGCACUACGCAACUCCAACACACAGAAUUAGGGUUUUUCACUGCUCUUUCCUUCCCGCCCUCGUUAACCUGGUCCAUCCUAGAUUGAAUACCGCAUCAAUACGUCGCAUUAGGCACAUUCGAUCAGUGAAGGGAGGCCAUAUCGUAGUCUCGAAGCCUUAGCGCCGCCCCGGUUAAUCACUAGUUGGGGCUAUUCUGACACUUGCCUUUCAUUUUCCUUUUGUUUUCUUUCGUUUCUUUUGUAAGCUUUGUAGCAGUAAGCAAUGGAAGAGGGGAAAAGUAAAUCUAGGAGAGACGAUUUGGAGAACCCAAAGAAGAGUCAUCGGGACCGCGACAGGGAAAGGGAUAAAGAGAGAAACGGUGAUAGAGGCAGAGACAAGGAGAAGAGAGAUCGUGAGAGUCGACGUUCUGAGAAGGAAAAGAGUGUCGAUUCUGAAGAGCAGCAGUAUGAGAGGGAGAAGGAAAAACUUAGAAGGGACAAGGAUAAAACACGGAGUCGGGAUGAUGAAAGAGAUAGAGCUAGGGUUAGGAGGAAGGAUAGAGAUAAGGAAAGGGACAAGGACAAAGAAGAUAGGGGGAGGGAGAGAACGAGGGACAAGGAGAAGGAGAGGGACAAGGAGAAGGAGAGAGACAAGGAGAAAGAGAGAGACAAGGAGAAGGAUAGAGAAAAGGAGAAGAGGGAAAGGGCAAGGGAAAAAGAGAGAGAGAAGAGAGAACGCAUCAAAGAAGAUCGUGAGAGGGACAGAGACAGAGAGAGGGAGAUGAGAGAACGUGAGAGAGAGAGGGAAAAGGAAAGAGAGAAGGAUAGAAGGAAGCGACGGGAAGUUAGCGAUUAUAGUGAUGAUGACUCUACUGACCAUGGUAGGAAGCGACGUAGGAGAGACGAUGAGGACCAUAGAGCUCAUGAAAGCAAUAGCAGGAUAAAUAAGCAGAGAGAUCACAGUGAAGAGAGUCCACGAGAGAAGAGUGAAGAAGAUGCAACUGAUAAGAAUGAAACAAAACCAACUCGUGAAGAGGAGCUGGAAAAUGAACAAAGGAGGUUGGAUGAAGAAAUGGAAAAACGAAGGCGAAGAGUUCAGGAGUGGCAAAAGUCACGAAGAUUGAAGGAAGAAGCUGAUGGAGAUAAGCAGGGCGAACCGAAUGCUGAUGAACCGAAAUCUGGCAAGACAUGGACCCUUGAAGGUGAGUCUGAUGAUGAGUAUGAGAAUGCGAGACCCACCGAGGCAGAUAUGGAUGUGGAUGAAAAUUCUAAGCCGCUUGUAGAAGGUGAGCAGGUUGCAGAUGACUUCAACAAUGGCAACGAAGCAGCUGGACCUCCACCGCAAGAUAGCAGUAAUGGUGAUGCAGGCGAUGAGGAAAUUGACCCUCUGGAUGCUUUCAUGAACUCCAUGGUACUGCCUGAAGUGGAGAAGCUAAACAAAAUCGAGGCCCCCACAAUUAAUGACAAUAAAUUUGCAGAGUUGAAGAACAGAGACAAAUCAAGUGAUCAAAGUGGUGGUAAACCCCAAAGAAGAACUUCAAAUAAAUCAAUGGGUAGAAUAAUUCCUGGUGAAGAUUCUGACACAGACUAUGGAGAUCUUGAGAAUGAUGCAGAUACUGUAGAAGAUGAAGAUGAUGACGAGUUCAUGAAAAGGGUCAAGAAGACAAAGGCUGAGAAGCUCUCUAUUGUGGACCAUUCAAAGAUGGAUUAUCAACCUUUCCGAAAAAACUUCUAUAUUGAAGUGAAGGAGAUAACGAGGAUGACUUCUGAAGAAGUUGCUGCUUAUCGGAAGCAACUGGAAUUGAAGAUACACGGAAAGGAUGUUCCGAAGCCUGUUAAAACCUGGCAUCAAACUGGACUUACGAGUAAAACUUUAGAAAUGAUUAAAAAACUUAACUAUGAGAAGCCAAUGCCGAUACAAGCUCAGGCAUUGCCAAUAGUCAUGAGUGGUCGAGAUUGCAUAGGUAUUGCCAAAACUGGAUCUGGAAAAACACUUGCAUUUGUUCUUCCAAUGCUGAGGCAUAUCAAGGAUCAACUACCUGUUGUACCCGGUGAUGGUCCUAUCGGGCUUAUCAUGGCUCCUACCAGAGAGUUGGUCCAGCAGAUCCAUAGUGAUAUAAAGAAAUUUUCAAAGGUUCUGGGUCUAAGGUGUGUGCCUGUAUAUGGCGGUUCUGGCGUUGCCCAACAAAUUAGUGAGCUUAAGCGUGGCACUGAAAUAGUAGUUUGUACUCCUGGAAGGAUGAUUGAUAUACUCUGCACUAGUGCAGGGAAAAUAACAAAUCUGCGUAGAGUUACAUAUUUGGUUAUGGAUGAAGCUGAUAGGAUGUUUGACAUGGGUUUUGAACCUCAGAUUACUCGAAUUGUUCAAAAUAUUCGACCAGACCGUCAAACUGUACUAUUUUCUGCUACUUUUCCUCGUCAGGUUGAAAUUUUGGCCCGCAAAGUGUUGAACAAGCCUGUUGAAAUACAGGUUGGUGGAAGGAGUGUUGUGAAUAAGGACAUCACACAGCUGGUUGAAGUGAGACCCGAAAAUGAGAGGUUCUUGAGACUGUUAGAGCUAUUGGGAGAAUGGUAUGAGAAGGGCAAGAUUCUAAUUUUUGUCCAUUCACAGGAAAAAUGUGAUGCCCUUUUUAGGGAUCUCCUUAAGCAUGGUUACCCUUGCCUCUCACUCCAUGGAGCCAAGGAUCAGACUGAUCGUGAGUCUACCAUAUCGGAUUUCAAAAGCAAUGUGUGCAACUUGUUAAUUGCAACUAGUAUUGCUGCCAGGGGUUUAGAUGUCAAGGAGCUGGAGCUAGUGAUCAAUUUUGAUGUUCCAAACCACUAUGAAGAUUAUGUUCAUCGUGUUGGUCGCACAGGUCGAGCUGGUCGUAAAGGGUGCGCUAUCACAUUUAUUGCCGAGGAAGAUUCAAGAUAUGCACCAGAUCUUGUGAAAGCAUUGGAACUCUCCGAGCAAGUUGUUCCUAAUGAUCUGAGAGCACUUGCUGAUAGUUUCAUGGCAAAGGUUAAUCAGGGACUGGAGCAGGCCCAUGGAACUGGAUAUGGUGGCAGUGGAUUCAAAUUUAAUGAGGAAGAAGAUGAAGUGAGGAGGGCAGCAAAGAAAGCGCAAGCUAAAGAAUAUGGUUUUGAGGAGGACAAAUCAGAUUCAGAAGACGAAGAUGAUGGUGUCCGGAAGGCAGGUGGCGAUAUCUCACAGCAGGCAGCUUUGGCCCAAAUAGCUGCUAUAGCAGCUGCCACUAAAGUCAGUGCAGCUUCCAUCACAACUCCCAGCUCUGCUGCUCAGCUACUUCCAAAUGGCGGAUUACCCGUUUCUCUGCCCGGUGUUCUUGGGCUUGCAAUUCCAGGAACAACAGCAGUUAUUCCUGGUGCAACAUUGCCUGCAGUUGCUAAUGAUGGGGCCGCUGCAAGGGCAGCAUUAGCAGCUGCAAUGAACUUGCAGCACAACCUGGCCAAGAUUCAAGCUAGUGCAAUACCUGAACACUAUGAAGCAGAAUUGGAAAUUAACGAUUUUCCACAGAAUGCUCGAUGGAAGGUAACCCAUAAGGAGACUUUGGGCCCAAUUUCAGAGUGGACUGGAGCUGCUAUUACUACUAGGGGGCAGUUCUUCCCACCUGGCAAGAUUGCUGGACCUGGAGAGCGCAAGCUAUACUUGUUCAUUGAAGGUCCAACUGAACAAUCUGUUAAGAGAGCUAAAGCUGAGUUAAAACGCGUUCUUGAGGAUAUUACAAACCAAACAUUGUCACUUCCCGGUGGAUCACAACCAGGCAGAUACUCAGUUGUUUAAGUGUGAGAACUUGAUCUUUACUUUGAAGGCAUGGUUUACUUGAAUCCCUCUACUGCUGGAAAUAUGCACGUUUCACGUGCUUUUCCUCCUUUUCUUUUUUGCUGUUUUCAAAUUGAGAAACAAAAAAUCUAUUAGCUUAGCCAGGAGCGUUGUAUUCUCUCGAUUUCUAAUUCUUCUUAGCCUUCUAAUAUCUUGUAUAAUUUUGGCUUAGAUGUAAGAUAACAUUAAUAUACAUAUUUAAAUGUUCUCCUCUUUUGAUUUUUGUUCUGUUUUUCUUUUCCUAUGGUGCGAGGGAUGUUAUAUACCAUACCUAGAUCGCAUGUUCAAUAUUGUCUCUUCACUCUUACCUUGCAAUAGUGGCUAUCAGAUGCAAUUAUGGUGCGCCACCCUUUGCGUUUAAUUCAGAAUGCUGCCGCCAAUUGGUUUUCUUCCUUGAUCUUCGUGAUCUGAUUUUCAGCUGGGAUGUUGAAAGUCCUCAAGUUGGUGCCCUCAAGUUAUAGAAGGUCACGGUUAUCAUAUCUGGUUUAUGAAAUAAUUCAUAUCUUGAAUUGUUGAUCGCCCAUACAAGUAUUGUAUUUCAUAAUUUAAAUAUUUCCAGUUUUCAGAAUGUUGCCUUUUAUCUGAUCCUUAGAUUCUUAGACGUUUCUACCAAUUUGCUGUGCUUGUCAAGAAUCUCUAACCUCAUUGUGGUAGGCAAACUUGCGUAUUUUUGGGAUCCUAUCAUUUGUUGAAAUUGUUCUUUCCUUUC